UCUAUUUUGGCAGAAAAGUGCAAUGGAUUUAGAAUCCAGAUAUGUAAAAGUUUAGUUUACAAAUAGAA
This 68-nucleotide transfer RNA is filed under the name Togoperla limbata. RNAcentral's name for it is "tRNA-Leu". It matches the Rfam family "tRNA". Rfam says of the family: Transfer RNA (tRNA) molecules are approximately 80 nucleotides in length. Their secondary structure includes four short double-helical elements and three loops (D, anti-codon, and T loops). Lineage: Eukaryota; Metazoa; Arthropoda; Insecta; Plecoptera; Perlidae. The record is from RNAcentral.